This 72-nucleotide transfer RNA is filed under the name Ovis aries (sheep). It matches the Rfam family "tRNA". Rfam says of the family: Transfer RNA (tRNA) molecules are approximately 80 nucleotides in length. Their secondary structure includes four short double-helical elements and three loops (D, anti-codon, and T loops). Further hydrogen bonds mediate the characteristic L-shaped molecular structure. tRNAs have two regions of fundamental functional importance: the anti-codon, which is responsible for specific mRNA codon recognition, and the 3' end, to which the tRNAs corresponding amino acid is attached (by aminoacyl-tRNA synthetases). tRNAs cope with the degeneracy of the genetic code in two manners: having more than one tRNA (with a specific anti-codon) for a particular amino acid; and 'wobble' base-pairing, i.e. permitting non-standard base-pairing at the 3rd anti-codon position. The record is from Rfam by way of RNAcentral. Lineage: Eukaryota; Metazoa; Chordata; Mammalia; Artiodactyla; Bovidae.
UUCCUGGUGGCUCAGACAGUAAAGAAUCUGCCUGCAGUGCAGAAGACCCAUGUUCAAUUCCUGGUUUGGAAA